RNAcentral lists this long non-coding RNA (3061 nucleotides) under Homo sapiens (human). Its description in RNAcentral is "HSALNT0321796". The record is from RNAcentral. Lineage: Eukaryota; Metazoa; Chordata; Mammalia; Primates; Hominidae.
CCCUCCUUUUCUCUCUCCCUGUAGCCCUCCCUCCCUCUCUUUCUCUCACACACACACCACCCUGCUCAGCGACCCAGCGCUCCCCAAACAGGACCCUCGCGGGCGGCAUCGCGAGGGACACGCUGCUGUCCUAACCUUAGCGCCACUCGGGGAGAAUGAAGGAGGCCCACCGAGCCCCCGACAAAGCUGCAAAACCCAGGAGACGCGCACGCGGGACCAUCACACUGUCAAGCAGACCGGGGUGCACAAUAGAGGGAAACUCUGGGGUUGAUCUGGGGGCAGGGAGGGGGACGUGUUAAAUCCAGAAGGUUGGUGGUUGGAGGCGGAAAGCAGAGUGUGCAAACUGUGCAUUCAUGUCCCACUUUUCACCCGAACGCCUGCCUAUCACAGCCUUCACUCAGGGAGCGCUUCCCCCUCGGCGCAGACCGAGCCUCCUCCGAUUUGAAACUCAGCAGCUGUUUUAACAAUUGAAAAAGCGGCCCUACAGGACCAGUGAAACGGAGCAGAGUGUGUGAAGCCAUUAAGGCUGACUAGAUGAGACAAUGAGGUGAGAAAAGUCCUCAUUGUAUCUCCACUUAGGAGAUACGAUCUAGAGCAGAUCCCUGGGUCAUUCAUUAACAAAGCUUACGAAGUCCCUGCUGUGUACCAGGCACAGCUAAAGAAGAACACUCUUUCAUGUGAGCAGUUUGGCCCAAGUUCCUGAUAGCUAUGUGCCAGUGAUAUCAUACAGCCUUAAGGCCACACAGACAUAAAGCCUGGUUAUUUUUUUAAAUGUUUUGAAGCUGAAUGGCAUCAGAUGUAGUGGAAAGAACACAGACAUCGGAGCCAGAGGUCUUGGGUACAGUUUCCUGCACUGACAUUUAAUAACUUUGUGACUGUGUGAACUUGGAAAGUUAUUUAAUCUUUCUGAAGUUCAGUUUCCUCAUCUGUAAAAUGGGGAUAAUAAAAUUUCUCUGAUAAGGUUAUUGUUAGGGUUAAACUAUUUUUAAUAUGUAAAGCAUGUGAUAUAUAAUAGGCACUAAACAAUUGCCUAUAUAAUAAUCACCAAUUUUUACUCCCUGGAUUCAAUUUCUGUUCAAAUAAAACAUUGCUUCUCCCUAAUCAGAAAACCGUACUUUGUAAGUGAAAAAAUAAAACAAAAGGAAUCACUUAGACCUUGCUUGUUAGGAUGGCCAAAAUGAUUAAUUUCAGGUUUGACAAAAUGUAACAAAUCAAAAACUCUUUCCUUUACAAAUUUAUUCCAAAAACAACCAGUGAAAAAGACAUUAUUUGCAUUUCACAGAUGAGAAAACGGAGGUUUAUGGCCAUCAGUGGCUGAGCAGGGAUCGGAGUCUCAUUCUGUCAAACUCUAAAGCCUGCGUUCUGAACCAACUCAAGCUGCCCCAGGAUAUUCCUUGGAGCCUCUAUCAACUAAUUUCACAGAUUCUUUUUUUUUCCUUUUUGCUGCUGUCAUGUUAAUGGGCAUUAUUUAAAAAGGGAUCUUACCACAGAAUUUGAUUUGGUGUCUCCUUGUUGACACCAUAUAAGAGCAAAUCUAACCACAUGUAGUGUUUUCACAAAAGUGUACCUAUCCAUCAAUUCUAGCCACAAACCUCUAAGGUCAGAAAUCUCAAAGAUUAAGCCAGAGGGAGGUGGAAUAGUCCAAACUGGUUUAGCUGCUUGAGUCUUCUCUUUUAUUUGAAAAUCACUUAAACUCUGUCAUUGACACAGUAUGAGUCCUUUCCUAAAGACAUUUUAAAAACUAACUUCUCUAUGAAAAGCAGUGAAUAGGAGGGCUGACACAAUUUUUAAAACUCUCAACAUGUGCAGCUCAUAAAAAGUAGGCAUAUGAUUAUAUAUACCUUUGAUUCAACCAGUUUCUAUUACAAGUAACCUGUGAACCCUAGAACUUAGUUAUUUUUUUUUUUAAAAAAAAGGAGGGGAAUCUCCACCUUAACCUUUUGGCCAUUUAAUCACUUAUUUAUUGAGUGGUUUCUAAGUGCCUGCUGUUGUCGCUCACUGCUUAUUAGUCCUUGUGAGAGCAAUCUUCAGUAGGAAUUAUUAGAAUUCCCAUUUUGGAGAUGAUGCUACUGAGGCUGUCAGAACUUGUCAUAUUUCUAGCCAAGAAAUUUGAACCCAGGCAGUGCUUUCAGCUAUUAUACUCGCUCCUCCCCUUUUGAAAUGGAUUCAAGGUAGUCACUCACAAAUGUGGAGAAUAAACUGAAGAAAGAAAUAAUAAGCCAAGUCCAGUCAUCUUAACAACCAUUUUUAACUGUUUCCUAGUAGUUUGGCAUAUAAAAAAAUUUCCCUCGAGAAAAUAAAACUUUAGUAGAAUAGCAUUAUUUUAAAAUUAUGUUAAGCUUUUCAGUGUGUGUUAUCAGACUCAAAUGUAUUAAAUUCCUUAUUGGAUUAGACCAGUUAACACUGGAUUUUGUCACAUUUCUACUUUUGAAUACCACAUCUAGGAAAGAAAUGUGUUAAUAUUUACUUCAUUGUGCCAAAUCAGAUUCUAUUGUAAAACUAGAUCAAAAAUGAAUCACUACACUAUAAAAUGCAAAAAUCUGUACGUGGAUUGUAAAGAGAAACAGGGACUGUUCUCAUUUUCUGGCGCAACUUCUCAACCCUCAUUAUGCUCUGUUGUAGAAAAAAUGCAUUAUUUCCGGUCAUUUAAAAGAAGUAGGGCCAUUUUUUCUAGAAAAUAAAUGGUAAUUGAAUCACUGAAAUGAUUUUGGGAAAACAGUUUCCAUACCAAUAGUGUCUAAUGUAACUCUGAAAACUCUUGGUGUUAUAAAGGAAAAAUUUGAAUUUUUCUAAUGUAAGCUUAAAUGUACCCAGUCGAAAUCCUCUCCAUUCCUUCCAUGUAAUCCUUCAAUGUUUUCUUGUCCAAAAAGUAUAACCAAACAUAGAGCCUUGAAUAUUUCUCUUUUGUCUCCAUAGCAUUUUAUCCAUAGCUCUCUCUAUUUCUAAGACCAUAAUUUCUAUUAAUGUGAUAAUCAUAGUGGUAUUCUGUCACUUUCAAUCGCCUAGCUGAAACUACUCAGUGAAACUCUGAGGGAAUUCCUAUUUUGAAGAAACUGCAAAU